ACCUGGAUAGCUCAGUUGGUAGAGCAUGAGACGUUUAAACUCAGGGUUGUGGGUUUGAGCCCCACAUUGGGCA
This 73-nucleotide transfer RNA is filed under the name Podarcis lilfordi (Lilford's wall lizard). It matches the Rfam family "tRNA". From Rfam's summary of the family: Transfer RNA (tRNA) molecules are approximately 80 nucleotides in length. Their secondary structure includes four short double-helical elements and three loops (D, anti-codon, and T loops). Further hydrogen bonds mediate the characteristic L-shaped molecular structure. tRNAs have two regions of fundamental functional importance: the anti-codon, which is responsible for specific mRNA codon recognition, and the 3' end, to which the tRNAs corresponding amino acid is attached (by aminoacyl-tRNA synthetases). tRNAs cope with the degeneracy of the genetic code in two manners: having more than one tRNA (with a specific anti-codon) for a particular amino acid; and 'wobble' base-pairing, i.e. permitting non-standard base-pairing at the 3rd anti-codon position. The record is from Rfam by way of RNAcentral. Lineage: Eukaryota; Metazoa; Chordata; Lepidosauria; Squamata; Lacertidae.